GGGGAAUAUUGCACAAUGGGCGCAAGCCUGAUGCAGCGACGCCGCGUGAGCGAAGAAGGUUUUCGGAUCGUAAAGCUCUGUCCUCUGGGAAGAAAAAAUGACGGUACCAGAGGAGGAAGCCCCGGCUAACUACGUGCCAGCAGCCGCGGUAAUACGUAGGGGGCUAGCGUUGUCCGGAUUUACUGGGUGUAAAGGGCGUGUAGCCGGGAAGGCAAGUCAGAUGUGAAAUCUGGAGGCUCAACCUCCAAACUGCAUUUGAAACUGCUUUUCUUGAGUGUCGGAGAGGUAAUCGGAAUUCCUUGUGUAGCGGUGAAAUGCGUAGAUAUAAGGAAGAACACCAGUGGCGAAGGCGGAUUACUGGACGAUAACUGACGGUGAGGCGCGAAAGCGUGGGGAGCAAACA
RNAcentral lists this ribosomal RNA (403 nucleotides) under uncultured Oscillibacter sp. RNAcentral describes it as "bacterial SSU rRNA". It matches the Rfam family "Bacterial small subunit ribosomal RNA", at positions 356 to 774 of the family's 1533-position model. Lineage: Bacteria; Bacillati; Bacillota; Clostridia; Eubacteriales; Oscillospiraceae. The record is from RNAcentral.